This 87-nucleotide transfer RNA is filed under the name Chloroflexota bacterium. Its description in RNAcentral is "Chloroflexi bacterium (anaerobic digester metagenome) tRNA-Leu". It matches the Rfam family "tRNA". Rfam says of the family: Transfer RNA (tRNA) molecules are approximately 80 nucleotides in length. Their secondary structure includes four short double-helical elements and three loops (D, anti-codon, and T loops). Further hydrogen bonds mediate the characteristic L-shaped molecular structure. tRNAs have two regions of fundamental functional importance: the anti-codon, which is responsible for specific mRNA codon recognition, and the 3' end, to which the tRNAs corresponding amino acid is attached (by aminoacyl-tRNA synthetases). tRNAs cope with the degeneracy of the genetic code in two manners: having more than one tRNA (with a specific anti-codon) for a particular amino acid; and 'wobble' base-pairing, i.e. permitting non-standard base-pairing at the 3rd anti-codon position. The record is from RNAcentral. Lineage: Bacteria; Bacillati; Chloroflexota.
GGGGCUGUGGCGGAAUAGGCAGACGCAAAGGACUUAAAAUCCUUCGAUGGUGACAUCGUGUGGGUUCGACCCCCACCGGCCCUACCA